UAAGGAAUAUUGGUCGAUGGACGCAAGUCUGAACCAGCCAUGCCGCGUGAAGGAUUAAGGCCCUCUGGGUUGUAAACUUCUUUUAUAGGGGAAGAAAUGUGACGGUUCUCCGUCACUUGACGGUACCCUGGGAAUAAGCACCGGCUAACUCCGUGCCAGCAGCCGCGGUAAUACGGAGGGUGCAAGCGUUAUCCGGAUUCACUGGGUUUAAAGGGUGCGUAGGUGGGCAGAUAAGUCAGUGGUGAAAUCUUCCGGCUUAACCGGGAAACUGCCGUUGAUACUAUUUGUCUUGAAUAUUGCGGAGGUAAGCGGAAUAUGUCAUGUAGCGGUGAAAUGCUUAGAUAUGACAUAGAACACCAAUUGCGAAGGCAGCUUACUACACAAUCAUUGACACUGAGGCACAAAAGCGUGGGUAGCAAACA
This 422-nucleotide ribosomal RNA is filed under the name uncultured bacterium. Its description in RNAcentral is "bacterial SSU rRNA". It matches the Rfam family "Bacterial small subunit ribosomal RNA", at positions 355 to 774 of the family's 1533-position model. The record is from RNAcentral.